This 367-nucleotide unclassified non-coding RNA is filed under the name Hevea brasiliensis (rubber tree). Lineage: Eukaryota; Viridiplantae; Streptophyta; Magnoliopsida; Malpighiales; Euphorbiaceae. The record is from RNAcentral.
AAAAAAAAAAAAAAAAAACAGGGAUCUCACAAGAGAUUAAAAAAUGAGGUCAACAAAAUUUGACCGGCUAUUAGAAGACUGAAUAGGGUGUAAGCAAACCAUUGCAAUUAAUGAACAACAUAUGAAGUGAGCUUGGUAGAGGUAUCAAAUUGACUAGGCAGCUAAUAGAUCACUCAACACAGUUCGCCAAAGUCUUGAGAGCAGAAGAAUGCUGUUCGCACACAUGAUUAAAUGGCACUACAUUUCAUUUAUUUUUUAACAGUGGAUUAAUGUUGAAAUUCCCUGGCUUACAAUGGACGCAUUCAUAGUUAUUAAAGGCGCGCCUUAAGGCUCAAUGCUCACUAGGCUCGAACCUUAGCGCCUUAUG